UACGUAGGGUGCGAGCGUUAAUCGGAAUACUGGCGUAAGACGAGCGCAGACGGUUACUUAAGCAGGAUGUGAAAUCCCCGGGCUUAACCUGGGAACUGCGUUCUGAACUGGGUAGCUAGAGUAUGUCAGGGGGGGUAGAAUUCCACGUGUAGCAGUGAAAUGCGUAGAGAUGUGGAGGAAUACCGAUGGCGAAGGCAGCCCCCUGGGAUAAUACUGACGUUCAUGCUCGAAAGCGUGGUAGCAAACAGGAUUAGAUACCCCCGUA
RNAcentral lists this ribosomal RNA (265 nucleotides) under uncultured bacterium. Its description in RNAcentral is "partial 16S ribosomal RNA". It matches the Rfam family "Bacterial small subunit ribosomal RNA", at positions 524 to 792 of the family's 1533-position model. The record is from RNAcentral.